AGCGCGUUCGUCUAGUGGUUAAUAGGACUCUUCGUCUUCAACGAAGAAACGGUGGUUCAAAUCCACCACGCGCUACAA
This 78-nucleotide transfer RNA is filed under the name Ignavibacteriales bacterium CG18_big_fil_WC_8_21_14_2_50_31_20. RNAcentral describes it as "tRNA-Glu". It matches the Rfam family "tRNA". Rfam says of the family: Transfer RNA (tRNA) molecules are approximately 80 nucleotides in length. Their secondary structure includes four short double-helical elements and three loops (D, anti-codon, and T loops). Lineage: Bacteria; Pseudomonadati; Ignavibacteriota; Ignavibacteria; Ignavibacteriales. The record is from RNAcentral.